CACGUAGUUAGCCGUGGCUUUCUCAUAGGGUACCGUCAAUUGAUAGUCAUUUCCUCCUAUCACCUUUCUUCCCUUAUAACAGAAUUUUACAACCCGAAGGCCUUCUUCAUUCACGCGGCGUUGCUCGGUCAGGCUUUCGCCCAUUGCCGAAGAUUCCCUACUGCUGCCUCCCGUAGGAGUCUGGGCCGUGUCUCAGUCCCAGUGUGGCCGUUCACCCUCUCAGGUCGGCUACGCAUCGUCGCCUUGGUAGGCCUUUACCCCACCAACUAGCUAAUGCGCCGCAGGCUCAUCCAUCAGUGAUGCCAGGAGCAUCUUUAAACUUUCGUCCUAUCCGGUAUUAGCGAUCGUUUCCAAUCGUUGUCCCCGUCUGAUGGGCAGAUCACCUACGUGUUACUCACCCGUUCGCCGCUUCCCACCGAAGUGGUUCGCUCGACUUGCAUGUAUUAGGCACGCCGCCAGCGUUCAUCCUGAGCCAGGAUCAAACUCU
RNAcentral lists this ribosomal RNA (487 nucleotides) under uncultured Turicibacter sp. RNAcentral describes it as "partial 16S ribosomal RNA". The record is from RNAcentral. Lineage: Bacteria; Bacillati; Bacillota; Erysipelotrichia; Erysipelotrichales; Turicibacteraceae.